Molecule: ribosomal RNA, 468 nt
Filed under: uncultured bacterium
Lineage: Bacteria
Description: partial 16S ribosomal RNA
Rfam family: Bacterial small subunit ribosomal RNA
Source: RNAcentral
GACGAACGCUGGCGGCGUGCUUAACACAUGCAAGUCGAACGGAAAGGCCCUGCUUUUGUGGGGUGCUCGAGUGGCGAACGGGUGAGUAACACGUGAGUAACCUGCCCUUGACUUUGGGAUAACUUCAGGAAACUGGGGUUAAUACCGGAUAGGAGCUCCUGCUGCAUGGAGGGGGUUGGAAAGUUUCGGCGGGUGGGGAUGGAUGCGCGGCUUAUCGGCUUGUUGGUGGGGUAGUGGCUUACCAAGGCUUUGACGGGUAGCCGGCCUGAGAGGGUGACCGGCCACAUUGGGACUGAGAUACGGCCCAGACUCCUACGGGAGGCAGCAGUGGGGAAUAUUGCACAAUGGGCGGAAGCCUGAUGCAGCAACGCCGCGGGCGGGAUGACGGCCUGCGGGUUGUAAACCGCUUUCGCCUGUGACGAAGCGUGAGUGACGGUAAUGGGUAAAGAAGCACCGGCUAACUACGUG